This is a non-coding RNA of Nothobranchius furzeri (turquoise killifish), 1151 nucleotides long. The record is from RefSeq and is a predicted model, not a curated record. NCBI's taxonomy places the organism in Eukaryota, Metazoa, Chordata, Actinopteri, Cyprinodontiformes, Nothobranchiidae.
UGGAAGAAUUUGCAUGCAAACAUUUGUGUAUUUUCUUUUUUUUUUUGGUGCACUUUAAAUGUCGACCGCUAGUUGGCAGCAGUGUGCAUUGGGUUUUGUUUCCACCAUUGAAAUUUAAAUCUCGCUAUUAUGGUUCAGAUAACCCAUGUUAAACAUGUUAAGUAUCAGUUUGGACUGUUUAUUGAAUAUUCCUACAAUAAAUUCAGUCAAAAAUACACAUCCCUACUGCAGACCAAUCCCACCUCAUGUAGUUCAUAGGCUGUAUAAUAAACCCACAGUGAUGGUUAUGGAUAAAUAUCUGUACUAAUGGUAAUCUUUUUCCAUUGUUUCCAGUUGACAAGCAUAUGGACCUAUUGUUCGAGUCUGUGAUGGUGGAUGCUCUACCAUAUCAGGAGUCUGACUGAGUACCUGUGCCUGAACCUCUCUGUGUCUAGUUCAAAAGACCUGAAAGACCUGCUGUAAGCAGGCACAGGUUAAGAUUUUAACAGAACCUGUAAGGUGAACAACACAACACAAAAUAAAUCUUUAUUAUUAUUGUACGCUGUACAGCUAGAAUAAACUUGCAUGCUCAGAAGCCACGUAUGAUUAUAUCGCCUACAAGUUGCCUGAUGCUGAACUUCGAGCAGCUGCGUGCGACUGUACUCCCAUGGAACAACCGCCUGUGGGAGGAGUCGUUGUGUUGCUGUCAGAAGUUUGUGUCGGAGUCCUGGAUCUAAAUUCUUUCCUUGAAGCUCCUGAUCACACAACCAUACUGUCUGUCGGCUUACCCACUACCUUCUGCUCACCCACUUGCAACUCAUGCUGUCAUUCUCCCAGACUUUUGGUUGUUUCUCCACCAUUCUGCCAUCUCCUGUCUGCGCUACAACUUCAGACCGUAAGUACCUAAACUUUUCCUUUUGUAAGUCAUUCUUUAGUCAUUACUAACACUCAAUUUUACCUCAGGGCCUUCUGAUCUUUAAACACUAAAACCUGUGGCUCCAUCUCUGUGGCGUUUCUCAGUCUCUGUAAGCUACCUGCACAGUCUAAGAAAAACCUGACCUGUUGCCUCUUACUAACCUCUGCUCUUCCUUGCAGAAGCUUCUGGUUCCUGAUCUCCAGCUGUUAUCUCUUCAGUCAUCCGUCAAACAUUUUAAUAAACUGUUUUUAGCUCA